GAUGAACGCUGGCGGCGUGCCUAAUACAUGCAAGUCGAGCGAACAGACGAGGAGCUUGCUCCUCUGACGUUAGCGGCGGACGGGUGAGUAACACGUGGAUAACCUACCUAUAAGACUGGGAUAACUUCGGGAAACCGGAGCUAAUACCGGAUAAUAUAUUGAACCGCAUGGUUCAAUAGUGAAAGACGGUUUUGCUGUCACUUAUAGAUGGAUCCGCGCCGCAUUAGCUAGUUGGUAAGGUAACGGCUUACCAAGGCAACGAUGCGUAGCCGACCUGGGAGGGGGACGGGCCCACUGGGAAUGGAAAAACGGCCAGACUCCCCAGGGGGGGACGAAGGAGGGAAUUUUCCGAAAGGGGGGAAAGCUUGAGGGGGCAACCCCGGGGGAGGGAUGAAGGCUUUGGGAUCUUAAAACCUUUUUUUUAGGGAAAAAAAAAUGUGUAAGUAACUAUGCCCGUUUGGACGGGACCUAACCAAAAAGCCCCGGCUAACUACGU
This 496-nucleotide ribosomal RNA is filed under the name uncultured bacterium. Its description in RNAcentral is "partial 16S ribosomal RNA". It matches the Rfam family "Bacterial small subunit ribosomal RNA", at positions 28 to 506 of the family's 1533-position model. The record is from RNAcentral.